Molecule: long non-coding RNA, 684 nt
Organism: Armigeres subalbatus
Lineage: Eukaryota; Metazoa; Arthropoda; Insecta; Diptera; Culicidae
Exons: 3
Source: RefSeq, a predicted model, not a curated record
UGGUUCUAUUAAAUAUUUUGCCCUUUUGAUUUGAAAAGUAUUCAAUUUUAUUAAAAAUAAAAGUUCAAUUUUCAUGUGCGAAAAUGAUUUAUUUAUUUUCAAAGUGAUUUUUCACGAUUUAGAGUGUACGUUUAAAAGUUGCACUUUUUGAUACAAAAAUUGUGCAACUGCCAAAAUAAUCAAAUAAAAAUAUGUUUUAUUUUGCAAGUGCCAGCAACUGCUCGUGUCAGUUUUUGUUUUGUGCAGCUUGUGCAGGUGCAAUCCGGCGAAAAUUGUAUAAAGGAUAAGGGAUCUGAUCCAGCAUCAUUCCGGUGUUCUUGCAUUCACCGUAAACAUUCCAGAGAAAUCCAGGAAUCCACCGAUUGAAUCCAGCCAAUGCGAGAUGACGUUCGGGAUGACACUCUGGAAUAUUUCCCUUCUGCCAUAUUGGCGCAACAAUUGUUUGCCGUUGCCAGACGCCCCGGAUUUCAUGUUUAGCCCUGCCUACCAUUGUUCAUUUCAACAAGGAUUAUCUUGCUGCCAUCGCAGUUAAGGCGACAACCAAGGUCCUGACCGUUUUGCCCACUAUCGAAGUGGAAAUGGCUUACGCAUCUAUACUAAUAUGGGGCCCCCAUCGCUAGCUCUGCCCAUUGGGUCAUCAAUCAAAUAAGGACAUAACAUUAAUAAAUAUUUUCCAAAAACAAA